UUCCCCCCUGUUUAACAAAAACCUUGUUCUUUUGGUUAAAAUAAAAGAUUUGGCCUGCCCUAUGAUUUAUUUUAAAUGGCUGCAGUAUUUUGACUGUACAAAGGUAGCAUAAUCAUUUGUCUUUUAAUUGAAGGCUGGUAUGAAUGGUUGGAUGAGGAAUAUACUUUCUUUAUUUUAUAUAAAAAAAUUAAUUUCUUAGUCAAAAAGCUAAGAUUUUUUUAAAGGACGAGAAGACCCUAUAGAACUUUAUUUUUUAUUUUUUAUAAAAUUUUUGGUUAAUUACAAUUUUAUAAAAAAUUAUUAAUUAUGUUGGGGUGAUGGAAAAAAUUAUAUAACUUYUUCUAUUUAUAGCAUUUAUUUAUGUUUUUUUGAUCUUAUUUUAUAGAAAACAAGAUUAAGUUACCUUAGGGAUAACAGCGUUAUUUUUUUGGAGAGUUCUUAUCGAUAAAAGAGUUUGCGACCUCGAUGUUGGAUUAAAAUAAGUGGCAGGGGUAGAAUAUUGCUUUCUAGGUCUGUUCGACCUUUAAAUUUUUACAUGAUCUGGUUUUCAACCCGGGAAC
Molecule: ribosomal RNA, 560 nt
Filed under: Tinginotum pini
Lineage: Eukaryota; Metazoa; Arthropoda; Insecta; Hemiptera; Miridae
Description: partial small subunit ribosomal RNA
Rfam family: Archaeal large subunit ribosomal RNA
Source: RNAcentral